RNAcentral lists this transfer RNA (56 nucleotides) under Aedes aegypti (yellow fever mosquito). It matches the Rfam family "tRNA", at positions 9 to 63 of the family's 71-position model. From Rfam's summary of the family: Transfer RNA (tRNA) molecules are approximately 80 nucleotides in length. Their secondary structure includes four short double-helical elements and three loops (D, anti-codon, and T loops). The record is from Rfam by way of RNAcentral. Lineage: Eukaryota; Metazoa; Arthropoda; Insecta; Diptera; Culicidae.
AGCUUAGUUGGUAAAGCGCUCGUCUAGCAUACAAGAGUUCUGGGUUCAAAUCCCAG